ACUUCCGCCUGUGGCGGGCCGCAGUGGUGGAGGAACUUCCGGCAGCGGCAGCUCAAGUGGCUAAGGCAAGAUGGGUCAAAGUCAGAGUGGUGGUCAUGGUCCUGGAGGUGGCAAGAAGGAUGACAAGGACAAGAAAAAGAAAUAUGAACCUCCUGUACCAACUAGAGUGGGGAAAAAGAAGAAGAAAACAAAGGGACCAGAUGCUGCCAGCAAACUGCCACUGGUGACACCUCACACUCAGUGCCGGUUAAAAUUACUGAAGUUAGAGAGAAUUAAAGACUAUCUUCUCAUGGAGGAGGAAUUCAUUAGAAAUCAGGAACAAAUGAAACCAUUAGAAGAAAAGCAAGAGGUAAGUUGAAAAGUUACUAUCAUUUUCUUUUUUACAAAUUGAAUUCUAUAAAAUUGUCAACAAAUAAAUGAAAUUCAAGUAGCUGAACCUGUCCAGGCUUUCAUGAGUAUUAUUAGCUGCCUUUUACAAGCAUCAGCUGCUUUGCAAAUCUAGCAAACUAUCAGGAUCAUCUACUUUGAGGUCUAGUCUGCUUUUUUUCCUUGGCAUUUUCAUAUGUAGGAGGAAAGA
Molecule: small RNA, 577 nt
Filed under: Pan troglodytes (chimpanzee)
Lineage: Eukaryota; Metazoa; Chordata; Mammalia; Primates; Hominidae
Description: retained intron
Source: RNAcentral